Molecule: ribosomal RNA, 468 nt
Filed under: uncultured bacterium
Lineage: Bacteria
Description: partial 16S ribosomal RNA
Rfam family: Bacterial small subunit ribosomal RNA
Source: RNAcentral
GACGAACGCUGGCGGCGUGCUUAACACAUGCCAGUCGAACGGAAAGGCCCUGCUUUUGUGGGGUGCUCGAGUGGCGAAAGGGUGAGUAACACGUGAGUACCCUGCCCUUGACUUUGGGAUAACUUCAGGAAACUGGGGCUAAUACCGGAUAGGCGCUCCUGCUGCAUGGUGGGGGUUGGAAAGUUUCGGCGGUUGGGGAUGGACUCGCGGCUUAUCAGCUUGUUGGUGGGGUAGUGGCUUACCAAGGCGUUGACGGGUAGCCGGCCUGAGAGGGUGACCGGCCACAUUGGGACUGAGAUACGGCCCAGACUCCUACGGGAGGCAGCAGUGGGGAAUAUUGCACAAUGGGCGGAAGCCUGAUGCAGCAACGCCGCGUGAGGGAUGACGGCCUUCGGGUUGUAAACCGCUUUCGCCUGUGACGAAGCGUGAGUGACGGUAAUGGGUAAAGAAGCACCGGCUAACUACGUG